GGUCAUUGAGUUAUUAAAUGAUAAUGCCACUAAAGAAGCAAUAGUCUACAAUGAUGAUAGUGACGACGAACUAAUGGAAAAAAUUGAGUCGAUUGAAUUCACAAACAUACAUCUGGUGCGGUGUGCUGCGCACACACUUCAGUUGUGCUCGUGUGAUGUUAAUAAGCAAGGCGACAUUACGGAAAAGGUCAACAAUUGCCGCCAACUGUGUAAAACUCUGCGUACUAGGAAAUACAGGUGAAUGCGGCAACAGGCUCUGGUGCAGAACCUACCCCACCCCAGAAAGAUCACAAUUCAUCAAAUGAUUCCAGUGCUUCCAAAGAAAGUUCGCUAUUUUCAUCAUAUUUGGAUGACAUGCAGCCCCUUCAGCAAAACUAAAAUGAGCCAGCAUCGGAGAAA
Molecule: long non-coding RNA, 399 nt
Organism: Drosophila innubila
Lineage: Eukaryota; Metazoa; Arthropoda; Insecta; Diptera; Drosophilidae
Exons: 2
Source: RefSeq, a predicted model, not a curated record